UACGUAGGGGGCAAGCGUUGUCCGGAUUCAUUGGGCGUAAAGAGCGUGUAGGCGGCCAGGUAGGUCGGUUGUGAAAACUGGAGGCUCAACCUUCAGAGGUCGACCGAAACCAUCUGGCUAGAGUCCGGGAGAGGAGAGUGGAAUUCCCGGUGUAGCGGUGAAAUGCGCAGAUAUCGGGAAGAACACCCGUGGCGAAGGCGGCUCUCUGGGACGGUACUGACGCUGAGACGCGAAAGCGUGGGGAGCGAACAGG
This 253-nucleotide ribosomal RNA is filed under the name uncultured bacterium. Its description in RNAcentral is "partial 16S ribosomal RNA". It matches the Rfam family "Bacterial small subunit ribosomal RNA", at positions 524 to 776 of the family's 1533-position model. The record is from RNAcentral.